ACACUAGUAAAAGUACAGAGAUUGUGCUUGGAGACUAGGAUUAGGAGUACAUAAACUCCUAGAACUGUGAGUAAACUUAUUAUCGUCUUAAUUAUCUAAAGUAGUUUUAUACAAUUGUGUGAUUUUAUGAAAAAUGGGUUUAAAUGGUAAAUUGCUAUGUUUUAGAAGAAAUUGUGAUUUUAUAAAAUGAUUUUAUAAAUUUUCUGAAAAAUUGAAUACUGGUUUCAAAAAUAGAGUAAUUGGAGACUGCCUGCUUGUGUUGUAAAAUUAUGGUUUUAAAUUGAAUGGCUUAUGAUAAUAAAUGAGCAUGAAUGGCUAAACUAAUUUUGGUGUUAGAAUUAUUUGUAAUGUGUAUUCAGCCUUGAGAGGCUAGGUUGCGAUAAAUUGCCAUGUCAUGCAGAAAAAGAUUUUAUAAAUCAGGUGGUAGAUAAAAUAAUCCAUAGUCACUGCAAUGGUGGGGGUUUCCGUGGACUGCCUAUGAGAGGGGCAUGGUAACCCAAUUAUAUAUUUACCUCCGGGGGGAGAUGUUGGAUGAAGUAUCUCCUGAGGUAAAGAUUUGAGUACACUUCACGUGGACCACCGCGUGAGAGUGAGACUCAGCCAACACCAAGGUAUGGCUAAAAUUUCAGAUGUAAAGACAUUUAAUAGCCUUGGCGGACUCGGUUGGGAUAACCCUCUAUCAAGGUAUCCUUGAUAACUGAGUAUGAGAAUGAUUUUUUUGGCACGAGCCAAGCUUUUCAUGAAAUCAUAAGCCUAUUUGUUUAUUUGGUUAAAAUGAGUUGAAAGGUAAUGAAAUUACAGUAAGAUGACUUAUUUUAAUUCGUCUCCAUUUACUCGCCUAUAGAUAGUUUAGAUGGUGUCUGUUUACUCACUAGGAUUUUAUAAUCUCACAACCCUUAUUUCCUUACAUUUCAGGCUCGGGGAAUUUCAUAGUUAGCUAACUUUGACAAGGACCUUCAUUGGGACUUGAAUCAGCAAAAGCUGUAGGUUUUCAGCUUUCGAUGCAUUUUGGUUAGAUGUGGGCUCACAUGUCGCUGUAAAAGAAAUUUUAUACUUCAGUUAUCUGAUUUAAAGUAUGUAUGAACAUAUUUAGCUUUUACACCAUGUUUUUGG
RNAcentral lists this long non-coding RNA (1113 nucleotides) under Theobroma cacao (cacao). Its description in RNAcentral is "long non-coding RNA (TCAC_LNC005328)". The record is from RNAcentral. Lineage: Eukaryota; Viridiplantae; Streptophyta; Magnoliopsida; Malvales; Malvaceae.